This 118-nucleotide non-coding RNA is filed under the name Platyophrya macrostoma. The record is from RNAcentral. Lineage: Eukaryota; Ciliophora; Colpodea; Cyrtolophosidida; Platyophryidae.
GCAUAUGGAUCAUAUAAACACGCUCAAUACAAAAAAAAAAAAAAAUAAUAUCAAAUUUAUGUAGAGCUGCAAAGUUGGGGGCGGCAGCUUUUUUUUUUUUUUUUUUUUGGGCUUUUUU